Molecule: ribosomal RNA, 247 nt
Filed under: uncultured bacterium
Lineage: Bacteria
Description: partial 16S ribosomal RNA
Rfam family: Bacterial small subunit ribosomal RNA
Source: RNAcentral
AUACGUAGGUGGCAAGCGUUGUCCGGAUUUACUGGGUGUAAAGGGCGUGUAGGCGGGGAUGCAAGUCAGAUGUGAAAUUCCGAAGCUCAACUUCGGCGCUGCAUCUGAAACUGUAUCUCUUGAGUGCUGGAGAGGAAAGCGGAAUUCCUAGUGUAGCGGUGAAAUGCGUAGAUAUUAGGAGGAACACCAGUGGCGAAGGCGGCUUUCUGGACAGUAACUGACGCUGAGGCGCGAAAGCGUGGGGAGC